GAUGAACGCUAGCUACAGGCUUAACACAUGCGAGUCGAGGGGUAACGAGAGGAAAGCUUGCUUUCCUUGUCGACGACCGGCGCACGGGUGAGUAACGCGUAUCCAACCUGCCCCCAACUAGGGAAUAACCUUGCGAAAGUAAGACUAAUACCCUAUAAUUUCCUCAGAUGACAUCUGACGAGGAAUAAAGAUUUAUCGGUUGUGGAUGGGGAUGCGUCUGAUUAGCUUGUUGGCGGGGUAACGGCCCACCAAGGCAACGAUCAGUAGGGGUUUGGAGAGGAAGGUCCCCCACAUUGGAACUGCGACACGGUCCAAACUCCUACGGGAGGCAGCAGUGAGGAAUAUUGGUCAAUGGGCGGAAGCCUGAACCAGCCAAGUAGCGUGCAGGAUGACGGCCCUAUGGGUUGUAAACUGCUUUUAUACAGGAAUAAAGUUAGCCACGUGUGGUUAUUUGUAGGUACUGUAUGAAUAAGGACCGGCUAAUUCCGUGCCAGCCGCCGCGGUAA
This 506-nucleotide ribosomal RNA is filed under the name uncultured bacterium. RNAcentral describes it as "partial 16S ribosomal RNA". It matches the Rfam family "Bacterial small subunit ribosomal RNA", at positions 28 to 523 of the family's 1533-position model. The record is from RNAcentral.